UACAGAGGGUGCGAGCGUUGUCCGGAAUCACUGGGCGUAAAGGGCGCGUAGGCGGUCUGGUAAGCGUGUGGUGAAAGCCCGGGGCUCAACCCCGGGUCGGCCAUGCGAACUGCGAGACUGGAGCCGAUCAGAGGCAGGCGGAAUUCCGGGUGUAGCGGUGGAAUGCGUAGAGAUCCGGAAGAACACCGGUGGCGAAGGCGGC
RNAcentral lists this ribosomal RNA (202 nucleotides) under uncultured bacterium. RNAcentral's name for it is "partial 16S ribosomal RNA". It matches the Rfam family "Bacterial small subunit ribosomal RNA", at positions 524 to 725 of the family's 1533-position model. The record is from RNAcentral.